This 451-nucleotide ribosomal RNA is filed under the name uncultured bacterium. RNAcentral describes it as "partial 16S ribosomal RNA". It matches the Rfam family "Bacterial small subunit ribosomal RNA", at positions 354 to 796 of the family's 1533-position model. The record is from RNAcentral.
GUGGGGAAUCUUCCGCAAUGGGCGAAAGCCUGACGGAGCAACGCCGCGUGAGUGAAGAAGGCCUUCGGGUCGUAAAGCUCUGUCUUUAGGGACGAACCGCGUAUGGAGUAAUAUGCCAUACGUCUGACGGUACCUAAGGAGGAAGCUCCGGCUAACUACGUGCCAGCAGCCGCGGUAAUACGUAGGGAGCGAGCGUUGUCCGGAAUUACUGGGCGUAAAGGGCGCGUAGGCGGAGGUUUAAGUAGGGUGUGAAAACUAUGGGCUCAACCGAUAGACUGCAUCCUAAACUGAGCCUCUGGAGGGCAGGAGAGGAAAGGGGAAUUCCUAGUGUAGCGGUGAAAUGCGUAGAUAUUAGGAGGAACACCAGUGGCGAAGGCGACUUUCUGGACUGUACCUGACGCUGAGGCGCGAAAGCGUGGGGAGCGAACAGGAUUAGAAACCCUGGUAGUCC